RNAcentral lists this long non-coding RNA (639 nucleotides) under Rattus norvegicus (Norway rat). RNAcentral describes it as "long non-coding RNA NONRATT004810". The record is from RNAcentral. Lineage: Eukaryota; Metazoa; Chordata; Mammalia; Rodentia; Muridae.
GCUAGGCGCACCAGUCUUCCAAAUUGACUGGGACGCCCACAGGUACCUGUGCUCCCUGAUCAAUAAAAAAUCCUCUUGCAGAUUGCAGCCGGUGGACUCGGACUAGUCAUUGGGGCUUGAGGAUCUCCCUCCUGAGGGAAGAUUCUCUCUGAGAGUCUUACAUAUGGGGGCUCGUCCGGGAUCGGAGAUCCUCUGCCUAGAGACCACCGACCACCCACCGGGAGACUGUUACAGGUCUUCUUUACCACUGAGGAAAGACGGAAUCCUACUGGAGGCCAGAAAGAAUGUUCCAGACAUGGAUGGAAGACCCUCACUCCUGACUGUUGACUUGAAUACCCCUGAAGGUAGGGAGUGCUCCAGGUCUGCCACCAGGCUCCAAAGGUGGGUCUCCGAGGGGCUGGAAAAUGCCCCACCAAUCUGGCUAAGAUAAGGAAAAGAUAUAAAGAGAGAAAGUUACAGAAAUUUAAAGGGUUAAGCUAAGUUGCUGAGAGUUAGUGUAAGUUGCAGAGAAAGUAAAGUUGAAGUGUAGUUACAUAAGUGGACAGCAUCUAAUAGCUGUAGAGGAAGAUGCAGAAGAUAUGAGAGAGAGACUGAGGAAGAGAAAGAGGAAAGAAGGUAAAAAGAGCAGGAAGCUAAGGA